This 30-nucleotide ribosomal RNA is filed under the name Enterococcus faecium. Its description in RNAcentral is "partial 23S ribosomal RNA". Lineage: Bacteria; Bacillati; Bacillota; Bacilli; Lactobacillales; Enterococcaceae. The record is from RNAcentral.
GGUUAAGUGAAUAAGGCGCACGGUGGAUGC